UUGGACCCUAGGCAUCUUUUAUAGUUAUGACCUCAGACUACAUUAAGAAACAAUGACUGCAGGAUUUCACUAUAGACAGAUUGGAUUUUCACAAGACUAUCAAAGAGGAGGAGGGAACUGAGAAGAAUAAGAAAAACGAGACAGUUAAUUGAAUUUGAAAGACACAUUGACUGUCAACAAGGAGAAAAUGAAGGAAAUUGCACAGGACAUCACCCAAGAGCAGACACACAGUGCGAAACAACAGUAAGACAGAAAGGAUGAGAAUUCACAGACGGGCAGGCAGAUUGCCACAAGACAUCUGUCUUAUAGAGAAUCUGCUUAACUGAAACCAAGGCUCAAGUCAAAGCCAUACAUGGCAAACUGGUGGCUUCUCCACGGAUACCCCUAUUCACAAACAAUUCACCAGGAUAAAUCCCAGCUUGCAGGAAAAUGAAGUCAAUAACUCCUGCAGGAGGAAGCAGACCACACAGCAUACACUGGGAGCAAGGUCCAGAGGACAGGACCCAGCACGCAGUGGAAUGGGUCAAGCACAUAGACGACCAUAUGAGCGUUCUUCCAAGGACAAAUUUAAAAGCACUAAUACAGCUUUAUCUGCUUGAAGUGGCCUGCUCCGUCAUGGGCAUUUAUGAAGUUUUCCCGUCCGGCUCUAGUGUUCGCACGAUGCACAGCCACUCUAUGCUGCAUGUCCUUUUGGAGGAAGAUUUGAAAUAAAAGUUACAAUAUAAGCAAUAGAGCCUGAGAGAUGAAUUUCAAGGUCCCUGCACAAGAGACCCCAGCCUU
Molecule: long non-coding RNA, 780 nt
Organism: Talpa occidentalis (Iberian mole)
Lineage: Eukaryota; Metazoa; Chordata; Mammalia; Eulipotyphla; Talpidae
Exons: 6
Source: RefSeq, a predicted model, not a curated record